AGCAGCCGCGGUAAUUCCAGCUCCAAUAGCGUAUAUUAAAGUUGUUGCAGUUAAAAAGCUCGUAGUUGAAUUUCGGGGUUAGUAGGUUGGUCAUGCCUCUGGUAUGUACUGGUCUCACUGAUUCCUCCUUCCUGAUGAACCUUAAUGCCAUUAAUUUGGUGUUUUGGGGAAUUUGGACUGUUACUUUGAAAAAUUAGAGUGUUUAGAGCAAGCUAACGCUUGAAUACAUUAGCAUGGAAUAAUGAAAUAGGACGUUCAAUCCUAUUUUGUUGGUUUCUAGGAUUGACGUAAUGAUUAAUAGGGAUAGUUGGGGGCAUUAGUAUUCAAUUGUCAGAGGUGAAAUUCUUGGAUUUAUUGAAGACUAACUACUGCGAAAGCAUUUGCCAAGGAUGUUUUCAUUAAUCAAGAACGAAAGUUAGGGGAUCGAAGACGAUCAGAUACCGUCGUAGUCUUAACCAUAAACUAUGCCGACUAGGGAUCGGAUGAUGUUAAUUUUUAAUGUACUCAUUCGGCGCCUUAC
Molecule: ribosomal RNA, 520 nt
Filed under: uncultured Glomus
Lineage: Eukaryota; Fungi; Glomeromycota; Glomeromycetes; Glomerales; Glomeraceae
Description: SSU rRNA
Rfam family: Eukaryotic small subunit ribosomal RNA
Source: RNAcentral